Molecule: ribosomal RNA, 494 nt
Filed under: uncultured bacterium
Lineage: Bacteria
Description: partial 16S ribosomal RNA
Rfam family: Bacterial small subunit ribosomal RNA
Source: RNAcentral
GAUGAACGCUGGCGGCGUGCUUAACACAUGCAAGUCGAACGAAGCAUAUAUUAUGAAGUUUUCGGAUGGAUUAAUUUAUGACUUAGUGGCGGACGGGUGAGUAACGCGUGGGUAACCUGCCUCAUACAGGGGGAUAACAGUUGGAAACGACUGCUAAGACCGCAUAAGCCUACAGUGCCGCAUGGCACGGAAGGAAAACAUUUAUUGGUAUGAGAUGGACCCGCGUCUGAUUAGCUAGUUGGUAAGGUAACGGCUUACCAAGGCGACGAUCAGUAGCCGACUUGAGAGAGUGAUCGGCCACAUUGGGACUGAGACACGGCCCAAACUCCUACGGGAGGCAGCAGUGGGGAAUAUUGCACAAUGGGGGAAACCCUGAUGCAGCGACGCCGCGUGAGUGAAGAAGUAUUUCGGUAUGUAAGCUCUAUCAGCAGGGAAGAUAAUGACGGUACCUGACUAAGAAGCCCCGGCUAACUACGUGCCAGCAGCCGCCGCGG